This is a long non-coding RNA of Vigna unguiculata (cowpea), 546 nucleotides long. RefSeq lists it as uncharacterized. NCBI's taxonomy places the organism in Eukaryota, Viridiplantae, Streptophyta, Magnoliopsida, Fabales, Fabaceae. The record is from RefSeq and is a predicted model, not a curated record.
UCUUUCCCUCUUUCCCUUUUAGUCUCACCUUAUCAUUGCUGCCACACUCACAGAACAACACAAUUUCACUUCACCUUCUCCAUUCGGUUUUCUCUGCCAUCUCUCUAAACUAGUGAAUUGAAGCUACCAUUCUAAUUCACUCUCCAAUUCUGCAGCAGCAAACGAACUUGGACCCAGGCAGAAAACUUCUCCCAUCAUUGAAUUCCCUCUUCAUCCAUCUCCCUAAGUUGUGCGUUUGGAGGUGCUCACUGUUAUAAAAAGGGGUCUUGCUUGUGAGUAAAUUCUAGAGAGCCGAAUCCAGAUGAUGAUGCCCCCCUUUUGAGCAAGAAUUGAUCCUUACUCAAUGCUGUUAUAGUUUUGGGCCAGAUUUUGUAGAGUUUUAACUUGACGCGUAGUUUAGGCAUUCUUCUUCUAUCUACCCUUGACUUCCAUGGAUUGUAUGGCUAUUUUUGGAUGACUGUACCAGCGGUAUAUACUUAUGUGUAUAUGACUGUUAUUCCUACUAUCUACUAUGCUUGAUCAUAAUAUAAUAUUUUUUAUUUGAUA